Molecule: ribosomal RNA, 1535 nt
Filed under: Klebsiella pneumoniae
Lineage: Bacteria; Pseudomonadati; Pseudomonadota; Gammaproteobacteria; Enterobacterales; Enterobacteriaceae
Description: bacterial SSU rRNA
Rfam family: Bacterial small subunit ribosomal RNA
Source: RNAcentral
AAAUUGAAGAGUUUGAUCAUGGCUCAGAUUGAACGCUGGCGGCAGGCCUAACACAUGCAAGUCGAGCGGUAGCACAGAGAGCUUGCUCUCGGGUGACGAGCGGCGGACGGGUGAGUAAUGUCUGGGAAACUGCCUGAUGGAGGGGAUAACUACUGGAAACGGUAGCUAAUACCGCAUAACGUCGCAAGACCAAAGUGGGGACCUUCGGGCCUCAUGCCAUCAGAUGUGCCCAGAUGGGAUUAGCUAGUAGGUGGGGUAACGGCUCACCUAGGCGACGAUCCCUAGCUGGUCUGAGAGGAUGACCAGCCACACUGGAACUGAGACACGGUCCAGACUCCUACGGGAGGCAGCAGUGGGGAAUAUUGCACAAUGGGCGCAAGCCUGAUGCAGCCAUGCCGCGUGUGUGAAGAAGGCCUUCGGGUUGUAAAGCACUUUCAGCGGGGAGGAAGGCGGUGAGGUUAAUAACCUCAUCGAUUGACGUUACCCGCAGAAGAAGCACCGGCUAACUCCGUGCCAGCAGCCGCGGUAAUACGGAGGGUGCAAGCGUUAAUCGGAAUUACUGGGCGUAAAGCGCACGCAGGCGGUCUGUCAAGUCGGAUGUGAAAUCCCCGGGCUUAACCUGGGAACUGCAUUCGAAACUGGCAGGCUAGAGUCUUGUAGAGGGGGUAGAAUUCCAGGUGUAGCGGUGAAAUGCGUAGAGAUCUGGAGGAAUACCGGUGGCGAAGGCGGCCCCUGGACAAAGACUGACGCUCAGGUGCGAAAGCGUGGGGAGCAAACAGGAUUAGAUACCCUGGUAGUCCACGCCGUAAACGAUGUCGAUUUGGAGGUUGUGCCCUUGAGGCGUGGCUUCCGGAGCUAACGCGUUAAAUCGACCGCCUGGGGAGUACGGCCGCAAGGUUAAAACUCAAAUGAAUUGACGGGGCCCGCACAAGCGGUGGAGCAUGUGGUUUAAUUCGAUGCAACGCGAAGAACCUUACCUGGUCUUGACAUCCACAGAACUUUCCAGAGAUGGAUUGGUGCCUUCGGGAACUGUGAGACAGGUGCUGCAUGGCUGUCGUCAGCUCGUGUUGUGAAAUGUUGGGUUAAGUCCCGCAACGAGCGCAACCCUUAUCCUUUGUUGCCAGCGGUCCGGCCGGGAACUCAAAGGAGACUGCCAGUGAUAAACUGGAGGAAGGUGGGGAUGACGUCAAGUCAUCAUGGCCCUUACGACCAGGGCUACACACGUGCUACAAUGGCAUAUACAAAGAGAAGCGACCUCGCGAGAGCAAGCGGACCUCAUAAAGUAUGUCGUAGUCCGGAUUGGAGUCUGCAACUCGACUCCAUGAAGUCGGAAUCGCUAGUAAUCGUAGAUCAGAAUGCUACGGUGAAUACGUUCCCGGGCCUUGUACACACCGCCCGUCACACCAUGGGAGUGGGUUGCAAAAGAAGUAGGUAGCUUAACCUUCGGGAGGGCGCUUACCACUUUGUGAUUCAUGACUGGGGUGAAGUCGUAACAAGGUAACCGUAGGGGAACCUGCGGUUGGAUCACCUCCUUA